This 245-nucleotide long non-coding RNA is filed under the name Amborella trichopoda. RNAcentral describes it as "long non-coding RNA (ATRI_LNC002155)". Lineage: Eukaryota; Viridiplantae; Streptophyta; Magnoliopsida; Amborellales; Amborellaceae. The record is from RNAcentral.
ACAGAGUUAACCAUCAAACCCUUUCACACUUAAUGUCAUCAAAAUAAGGCCGUACUAUAUAUAUAUUAAAUUUUGUCGUUGAUUGUUCUCGCUCGAGUAAUUUGGCUUAAGCAAUGGCCGAGUCGAGUUUUUGAACUAUGCCUUGUAUCUUCAAGGUGAUCACAAAUGGGCUAAUGAGAUAUUUCUUCAUCGUCUUUGAGCUGCAUUAGCAAUCAAUAAUGAUAAACACAUGGACGAAUUGAAUC